This is a non-coding RNA of Triticum aestivum (bread wheat), 125 nucleotides long. Lineage: Eukaryota; Viridiplantae; Streptophyta; Magnoliopsida; Poales; Poaceae. The record is from Rfam.
GUGAUACUCUCUCUGCCCGGAAAUACUUGUCGAAGAAAUGAAUGUAUCUAGACGUAUUUUAGUUCUAGAUACAUCCAACUUUAUUCAUUUUUAUGACAAGUAAAUUCCAGACGGAGGAGUAUGUC